GUACUCCACAGCUGUGUUACGGCCCUGGGCCUUAAUGGCUGGGUUGCAGGUGUCUUGUUGUCUGUCUUUGUGCUCCUCCCCUUUACAGGUGUUGCUGAUUUUAUUCAUUUGGAGCACAGAGCAUUUAAACCUGGCUGUCUCCACCUUCUGGGUCGCCAUCAGCGUCCACUCUGCCUCGAUGCUUGCGGUGUUUUGUUGCCAGGCCUCAGCUCCCCUCCUUUUGCACAUUUGAGUUUGUCUUUGUUUUUGCACUUCAACAACUCCAUAUGCACUCAUACACCACAUCCAAGCAUUUGCAUUACACCACUGAUACUGACAUCCUCAAUCCAUUGUUGUUUGUGUUAAUAAACAUUCCUUUUUAUGCACUUUAAUCCCUGCAUGGUCUCCCGUUAUUGUUAUGACCUUGAGCCAGUCGUAACAUUAGACAUAUGAAUGAGUAAAAAUGUAGAGUCUGCAGACGGAUGAGUCUCAACAUAAUGUUAUUGGAGUACAGAAACCAGGAAGCAGAAACCAGGAUACUCCUGAAAUUGUUUUUUUUUUUUUUUAAAUGUCUUUUUUUUUCCAACUACACAAAGGAAUAAUGGUAUGAAGAGGCUCAGGCAGACAUCAGUCAGCUGCUUUUAAAGGUCCAGGGAUUUCCCCGUUGUUAUCAUUAAUCAAAACAGGGCUGUCGUUACAGCUUCAUACUUACUGCAUUAAACGUCUGGAGUUUGCCACUGUCAGGACUGUUGGUGCAACUAAAAACAAAAACAUGCAAACUCCUGGUCUAAACAAAACAUGUUUAAAUAUCCAGAUAUCCUUAUUUAUCUAGUUUCUACAACAGUUUGCUUUGGAAGUGCAGAUUGUGUGAAACUGUGAU
Molecule: long non-coding RNA, 859 nt
Organism: Xiphophorus hellerii (green swordtail)
Lineage: Eukaryota; Metazoa; Chordata; Actinopteri; Cyprinodontiformes; Poeciliidae
Exons: 3
Source: RefSeq, a predicted model, not a curated record